GGGAGUAUGGCUCAGUGGUAGAGUGCUUACCUAGCACGCAUGAAGCCCUGGGUUCAAUUCCUCAGUACCA
Molecule: transfer RNA, 70 nt
Filed under: Dipodomys ordii (Ord's kangaroo rat)
Lineage: Eukaryota; Metazoa; Chordata; Mammalia; Rodentia; Heteromyidae
Rfam family: tRNA
About the family: Transfer RNA (tRNA) molecules are approximately 80 nucleotides in length. Their secondary structure includes four short double-helical elements and three loops (D, anti-codon, and T loops).
Source: Rfam by way of RNAcentral